This is a long non-coding RNA of Musca domestica (house fly), 5133 nucleotides long. RefSeq lists it as uncharacterized. The transcript is spliced from 7 exons. The record is from RefSeq and is a predicted model, not a curated record. Lineage: Eukaryota; Metazoa; Arthropoda; Insecta; Diptera; Muscidae.
CUCACAUUUAUUCUUCUAAUCAAAUUUGAAUUUCAUUUAACAUUGAACUUCAAUUCCAAUUGCAAAUGAAAAUAAUUAACAAUUAUCCAUAUUUCCACAGAUACUUCAUCGAAUUUCUUCAUCAACACCAACAACACCAUUUUGAAGGAAGGCGAAGGAAGCAUUGAAGCAACUUAUUCAUGGCAAAGGUAAAAGAAGAAGCUUCUUCAUUCAUUCAUAUGCAUUUCUAUGGAUAAUACUCACUGUCUCAUUGUGAACUACUACAACUAAAUGAACGAGCGAGCUAGCUAACGAAUCCACAUACAUAUAUGUGUUGUGAAAAGAAGCUGUAACUGCAAUACUUCCUCCAAUUGUCAAUGCAUCGACAACAAAUAAUACAUUGGCUGGACUUGACAAGCAACCACGCAGACUACUAGUAGCCAAGGUAAGGCAAGGCAAGGCAAGGCAUUAGAGUUGAAGACUGACCAAUAGCAAUAGCAAUGGCAAUGGCAAUAGAAAUACCAACACUAAUACCAUUUAGUGGGAUCGAUUUGAACGGAUAUUCUAGUGCAUACAUUGAAGUUGCAGCUGAAAUUGGUGGUGAAGUUGAAGUUGAAAUUGAAGAAAGUAUUGAUGAGACAGCAAGGCAAGGCAACGAGAUGACAAAGGCGAAAGGCAAUUGGCAGUGGCCAUCAAUGGAAGAUGUAAGUGAAAAAGUGAUCGAAUUGUUACGUGAAGGAGUAGUUGUAGUAGAAUUGUUAUUGAUGUUGGUGUUGAUGUUGAUGUUGAUAUUGAUGUUGGUGUUAGCUAUCAAUGUAUAUGCAAUUGUAAAGAGCUGAUGAAGUGAGUGAGCGAGUGUUAGAGUUCCGACACGGUGCAAUAAUGGGAGGCCAUAUGGUGUUGAGCUUUCACGACUACAUGGCUUAUGGCCGUAGUCCGACUAUACCCCCAGAACCACUAAUUAUUCCCGCAACUCCCAACAUUUCGUACUGCUGCUGAAGACUUGGAUGAAUGAAUGCGCAUCUCUACAUCGUACAUCCGGAUUGCCACCUGAACACGCGGAAUUGUAGCCUUUGUUGGAGUGCUAAGUGCUUCGCCUCUGGUAUUUGAUACUCACUAUGUGGAUUAUGCGCCGCAGGCCGGCUAUGUAAGACUGUCUGCAUUGGAGGAAUUGCGCCGUAGGCCGGCUUGGGACGGAUACUUCAUCGAAAUUCUUCAUCAACACCAACAACACCAUUUUGAAGGAAGGCGAAGGAAGCAUUGAAGCAACUUAUUCAUGGCAAAGGUGAAAGAAGCUUCUUCAUUCAUUCAUAUGCAUUUCUAUGGAUAAUACUCACUGUCUCAUUGUGAACUACUACAACUAAAUGAACGAGCGAGCUAGCUAACGAAUCCACAUACAUAUAUGUGUUGUGAAAAGAAGCUGUAACUGCAAUACUUCCACUUCCACCAAUUGUCAAUGCAUCGACAACAAAUAAUACAUUGGCUGGACUUGACAAGCAACCACGCAGACUACUAGUAGCCAAGGUAAGGCAAGGCAAGGCAAGGCAUUAGAGUUGAAGACUGACCAAUAGCAAUAGCAAUGGCAAUGGCAAUAGAAAUACCAACACUAAUACCAUUUAGUGGGAUCGAUUUGAACGGAUAUUCUAGUGCAUACAUUGAAGUUGCAGCUGAAAUUGGUGGUGAAGUUGAAGUUGAAAUUGAAGAAAGUAUUGAUGAGACAGCAAGGCAAGGCAACGAGAUGACAAAGGCGAAAGGCAAUUGGCAGUGGCCAUCAAUGGAAGAUGUAAGUGAAAAAGUGAUCGAAUUGUUACGUGAAGGAGUAGUUGUAGUAGAAUUGUUAUUGAUGUUGGUGUUGAUGUUGAUGUUGAUAUUGAUGUUGGUGUUAGCUAUCAAUGUAUAUGCAAUUGUAAAGAGCUGAUGAAGUGAGUGAGCGAGUGUUAGAGUUCCGACACGGUGCAAUAAUGGGAGGCCAUAUGGUGUUGAGCUUUCACGACUACAUGGCUUAUGGCCGUAGUCCGACUAUACCCCCAGAACCACUAAUUAUUCCCGCAACUCCCAACAUUUCGUACUGCUGCUGAAGACUUGGAUGAAUGAAUGCGCAUCUCUACAUCGUACAUCCGGAUUGCCACCUGAACACGCGGAAUUGUAGCCUUUGUUGGAGUGCUAAGUGCUUCGCCUCUGGUAUUUGAUACUCACUAUGUGGAUUAUGCGCCGCAGGCCGGCUAUGUAAGACUGUCUGCAUUGGAGGAAUUGCGCCGUAGGCCGGCUUGGGACGGGUAAGUGUCAAGAAAAAAUGCGCCGCAGGCGGCAAAUUUUUCAGGGUAUAAGUAGAGGCCCGGCAGAGUGACCAAAUUGGGACGGGUUUGUGUGAAGAAGAAAUGCGCCGCAGGCGGCAAAUUUUUCAGGGUAUAAAUAGAGGCCCGGCAGGUAGACAAAAUUGCUGGUGAGGACCUUUUUUUUUUUUUUUUUUUUUUUUUUUUUUUUUUUUGCUCUUCAUUUUCAUUUCGAGUGACAUCAAAAGUAGGUCUCACAUUUAUUCUUCUAAUCAAAUUUGAAUUUCAUUUAACAUUGAACUUCAAUUCCAAUUGCAAAUGAAAAUAAUUAACAAUUAUCCAUAUUUCCACAGAUACUUCAUCGAAUUUCUUCAUCAACACCAACAACACCAUUUUGAAGGAAGGCGAAGGAAGCAUUGAAGCAACUUAUUCAUGGCAAAGGUAAAAGAAGAAGCUUCUUCAUUCAUUCAUAUGCAUUUCUAUGGAUAAUACUCACUGUCUCAUUGUGAACUACUACAACUAAAUGAACGAGCGAGCUAGCUAACGAAUCCACAUACAUAUAUGUGUUGUGAAAAGAAGCUGUAACUGCAAUACUUCCUCCAAUUGUCAAUGCAUCGACAACAAAUAAUACAUUGGCUGGACUUGACAAGCAACCACGCAGACUACUAGUAGCCAAGGUAAGGCAAGGCAUUAGAGUUGAAGACUGACCAAUAGCAAUAGCAAUAGCAAUGGCAAUGGCAAUACCAACACUAAUACCAUUUAAUGGGAUCGAUUUGAACGGAUAUUCUAGUGCAUACAUUGAAGUUGCAGCUGAAAUUGGUGGUGAGGUUGAAGUUGAAAUUGAAGAAGAAAGUAUUGAUGAGACAGCAAGGCAACGAGAUGACAAAGGCGAAAGGCAAUUGGCAGUGGCCAUCAAUGGAAGAUGUAAGUGAAAAAGUGAUCGAAUUGUUACGUGAAGGAGUAGUUGUAGUAGAAUUGUUAUUGAUAUUGGUGUUGAUGUUGAUGUUGAUGUUGAUGUUGAUAUUGGUGUUGAUGUUGAUAUUGGUGUUAGCUAUCAAUCUGUAUGCAAGUGUGAAGAGCUGAUGAAGUGAGUGAGCGAGUGUUAGAGUUCCGACACGGUGCAAUAAUGGGAGGCCAUAUGGUGUUGAGCUUUCACGACUACAUGGCUUAUGGCCGUAGUCCGACUAUACCCCCAGAACCACUAAUUAUUCCCGCAACUCCCAACAUUUCGUACUGCUGCUGAAGACUUGGAUGAAUGAAUGCGCAUCUCUACAUCGUACAUCCGGAUUGCCACCUGAACACGCGGAAUUGUAGCCUUUGUUGGAGUGCUAAGUGCUUCGCCUCUGGUAUUUGAUACUCACUAUGUGGAUUAUGCGCCGCAGGCCGGCUAUGUAAGACUGUCUGCAUUGGAGGAAUUGCGCCGUAGGCCGGCUUGGGACGGAUACUUCAUCGAAAUUCUUCAUCAACACCAACAACACCAUUUUGAAGGAAGGCGAAGGAAGCAUUGAAGCAACUUAUUCAUGGCAAAGGUGAAAGAAGCUUCUUCAUUCAUUCAUAUGCAUUUCUAUGGAUAAUACUCACUGUCUCAUUGUGAACUACUACAACUAAAUGAACGAGCGAGCUAGCUAACGAAUCCACAUACAUAUAUGUGUUGUGAAAAGAAGCUGUAACUGCAAUACUUCCACUUCCACCAAUUGUCAAUGCAUCGACAACAAAUAAUACAUUGGCUGGACUUGACAAGCAACCACGCAGACUACUAGUAGCCAAGGUAAGGCAAGGCAAGGCAAGGCAUUAGAGUUGAAGACUGACCAAUAGCAAUAGCAAUGGCAAUGGCAAUAGAAAUACCAACACUAAUACCAUUUAGUGGGAUCGAUUUGAACGGAUAUUCUAGUGCAUACAUUGAAGUUGCAGCUGAAAUUGGUGGUGAAGUUGAAGUUGAAAUUGAAGAAAGUAUUGAUGAGACAGCAAGGCAAGGCAACGAGAUGACAAAGGCGAAAGGCAAUUGGCAGUGGCCAUCAAUGGAAGAUGUAAGUGAAAAAGUGAUCGAAUUGUUACGUGAAGGAGUAGUUGUAGUAGAAUUGUUAUUGAUGUUGGUGUUGAUGUUGAUGUUGAUAUUGAUGUUGGUGUUAGCUAUCAAUGUAUAUGCAAUUGUAAAGAGCUGAUGAAGUGAGUGAGCGAGUGUUAGAGUUCCGACACGGUGCAAUAAUGGGAGGCCAUAUGGUGUUGAGCUUUCACGACUACAUGGCUUAUGGCCGUAGUCCGACUAUACCCCCAGAACCACUAAUUAUUCCCGCAACUCCCAACAUUUCGUACUGCUGCUGAAGACUUGGAUGAAUGAAUGCGCAUCUCUACAUCGUACAUCCGGAUUGCCACCUGAACACGCGGAAUUGUAGCCUUUGUUGGAGUGCUAAGUGCUUCGCCUCUGGUAUUUGAUACUCACUAUGUGGAUUAUGCGCCGCAGGCCGGCUAUGUAAGACUGUCUGCAUUGGAGGAAUUGCGCCGUAGGCCGGCUUGGGACGGGUAAGUGUCAAGAAAAAAUGCGCCGCAGGCGGCAAAUUUUUCAGGGUAUAAGUAGAGGCCCGGCAGAGUGACCAAAUUGGGACGGGUUUGUGUGAAGAAGAAAUGCGCCGCAGGCGGCAAAUUUUUCAGGGUAUAAAUAGAGGCCCGGCAGGUAGACAAAAUUGCUGGUGAGGACCUUUUUUUUUUUUUUUUUUUUUUUUUUUUUUUUUUUUUUUGCUCUUCAUUUUCAUUUCGAGUGACAUCAAAAGUAGGUCUCACAUUUAUUCUUCUAAUCAAAUUUGAAUUUCAUUUAACAUUGAACUUCAAUUCCAAUUGCAAAUGAAAAUAAUUAACAAUUAUCCAUAUUUCCACAGAUACUUCA